RNAcentral lists this ribosomal RNA (74 nucleotides) under Staphylococcus aureus. RNAcentral describes it as "partial 16S ribosomal RNA". It matches the Rfam family "Bacterial small subunit ribosomal RNA", at positions 1 to 74 of the family's 1533-position model. The record is from RNAcentral. Lineage: Bacteria; Bacillati; Bacillota; Bacilli; Caryophanales; Staphylococcaceae.
UUUAUGGAGAGCUUGAUCCUGGCUCAGGAUGAACGCUGGCGGCGUGCCUAAUACAUGCAAGUCGAGCGAACGGA